This 484-nucleotide ribosomal RNA is filed under the name uncultured bacterium. Its description in RNAcentral is "partial 16S ribosomal RNA". It matches the Rfam family "Bacterial small subunit ribosomal RNA", at positions 30 to 507 of the family's 1533-position model. The record is from RNAcentral.
AUUGAACGCUGGCGGCAGGCCUAACACAUGCAAGUCGAGCGGAUGAAGGGAGCUUGCUCCUGGAUUCAGCGGCGGACGGGUGAGUAAUGCCUAGGAAUCUGCCUGGUAGUGGGGGAUAACGUCCGGAAACGGGCGCUAAUACCGCAUACGUCCUGAGGGAGAAAGUGGGGGAUCUUCGGACCUCACGCUAUCAGAUGAGCCUAGGUCGGAUUAGCUAGUUGGUGGGGUAAAGGCCUACCAAGGCGACGAUCCGUAACUGGUCUGAGAGGAUGAUCAGUCACACUGGAACUGAGACACGGUCCAGACUCCUACGGGAGGCAGCAGUGGGGAAUAUUGGACAAAGGGCGAAAGCCUGAUCCAGCCAUGCCGCGUGUUUGAAGAAGGUCUUCGGAUUGUAAAGCACUUUAAGUUGGGAGGAAGGGCAGUAAGUUAAUACCUUGCUGUUUUGACGUUACCAACAGAAUAAGCACCGGCUAACUUCGUG